AGAGUUUGAUCAUGGCUCAGGAUGAACGCUAGCGGCAGGCCUAAUACAUGCAAGUCGAACGGUCAGUAGCAAUACUGAUAGUGGCGCACGGGUGCGUAACACGUAACUAACCUACCCACAACUGGGGGAUAGCCCGCCGAAAGGCGGAUUAAUACCGCAUAAGCUCUUUAGCUGGCAUCAGCUGAUUAGUAAAGAUUUAUUGGUUGUGGAUGGGGUUGCGGGUCAUUAGCUAGUUGGUUGGGUAACGGCUGACCAAGGCAACGAUGACUAGGGGAGCUGAGAGGCUGGUCCCCCACACGGGCACUGAGAUACGGGCCCGACUCCUACGGGAGGCAGCAGUAGGGAAUAUUGGGCAAUGGGCGAGAGCCUGACCCAGCCAUGCCGCGUGCAGGAAGAAGGCUUUCUGAGUCGUAAACUGCUUUUGACAGGGAAGAAUAAGCUGUACGUGUACAGUGAUGACGGUACCUGCAGAAUAAGCACCGGCUAACUCCGUGCCAGCAGCCGCGGUAAUACGGAGGGUGCGAGCGUUGUCCGGAUUUAUUGGGUUUAAAGGGUGCGUAGGCGGCCCGUUAAGUCCGGGGUGAAAGCCCGUUGCUCAACAACGGAACUGCCCUGGAUACUGGCGGGCUUGAGUACAGACGAGGUUGGCGGAAUGGACCGAGUAGCGGUGAAAUGCAUAGAUACGGUCCAGAACCCCGAUUGCGAAGGCAGCUGACUAGGCUGUUACUGACGCUGAGGCACGACAGCGUGGGGAGCGAACAGGAUUAGAUACCCNNGUAGUCC
Molecule: ribosomal RNA, 783 nt
Filed under: uncultured bacterium
Lineage: Bacteria
Description: bacterial SSU rRNA
Rfam family: Bacterial small subunit ribosomal RNA
Source: RNAcentral